RNAcentral lists this ribosomal RNA (460 nucleotides) under uncultured bacterium. RNAcentral's name for it is "partial 16S ribosomal RNA". It matches the Rfam family "Bacterial small subunit ribosomal RNA", at positions 338 to 795 of the family's 1533-position model. The record is from RNAcentral.
CCUACGGGAGGCAGCAGUGAGGAAUAUUGGUCAAUGGACGAGAGUCUGAACCAGCCAAGUAGCGUGAAGGAUGACUGCCCUAUGGGUUGUAAACUUCUUUUAUAUGGGAAUAAAACAGGGUAUGCAUACCCUCUUGUAUGUACCAUAUGAAUAAGAAUCGGCUAACUCCGUGCCAGCAGCCGCGGUAAUACGGAGGAUCCGAGCGUUAUCCGGAUUUAUUGGGUUUAAAGGGAGCGUAGGUGGAUUGUUAAGUCAGUUGUGAAAGUUUGCGGCUCAACCGGAAAAUUGCAGUUGAAACUGGCAGUCUUGAGUACAGUAGAGGUAGGCGGAAUUCGUGGUGUAGCGGUGAAAUGCUUAGAUAUCACGAAGAACUCCGAUUGCGAAGGCAGCUUACUGGACUGCAACUGACACUGAUGUUCGAAAGUGUGGGUAUCAAACAGGAUUAGAUACCCGAGUAGUC